RNAcentral lists this ribosomal RNA (465 nucleotides) under uncultured bacterium. Its description in RNAcentral is "bacterial SSU rRNA". It matches the Rfam family "Bacterial small subunit ribosomal RNA", at positions 338 to 795 of the family's 1533-position model. The record is from RNAcentral.
CCUACGGGGGGCAGCAGUAGGGAAUCUUCCGCAAUGGACGAAAGUCUGACGGAGCAACGCCGCGAGAGCGAAGAAGGUCUUCGGAUCGUAAAGCUCUGUUGUUAGGGAAGAACAAGAACGGGAGGAAAUGACCGUAGCUUGACGGUACCUAAAGAGGAAGCCACGGCUAACUACGUGCCAGCAGACGCGGUACUACGAAGGUGGCAAGCGCUGUCCGGAACUAGUGGGCGUAAAGCGCGCGCAGGCGGUAUUUUAAGUCUGAUGUGAAAUCUUGCGACUAAACCGCAAGAGCUCAUUGGCAACCGGUAGAAUUGAGUGCAGAAGAGGAAAGCGGAAGUCCACGUGUAGCGGUGAAAUACGUAGAGAUGUGGAGGAACACCAGUGGCGAAGGCGGCUAUCUGGUCUGUAACUGACGCUGAGGCGCGAAAGCGUGGGGAGCAAACAGGAUUAGAUACCCUGGUAGUC